GUGAAUAUCAUAUAAAGGUAAUAUGCCAGCCUCUGAAGUUGGAAAUUGGGGUUCGAAUCCCUAUAUUCACUCA
RNAcentral lists this transfer RNA (73 nucleotides) under Bacteriophage sp. Its description in RNAcentral is "tRNA-Gln". It matches the Rfam family "tRNA". From Rfam's summary of the family: Transfer RNA (tRNA) molecules are approximately 80 nucleotides in length. Their secondary structure includes four short double-helical elements and three loops (D, anti-codon, and T loops). The record is from RNAcentral.